Molecule: ribosomal RNA, 524 nt
Filed under: uncultured bacterium
Lineage: Bacteria
Description: partial 16S ribosomal RNA
Rfam family: Bacterial small subunit ribosomal RNA
Source: RNAcentral
UGGGGAAUAUUGGACAAUGGGGGCAACCCUGAUCCAGCCAUGCCGCGUGAGUGAUGAAGGCCUUCGGGUUGUAAAGCUCUUUUGGCGGGGACGAUGAUGACGGUACCCGCAGAAUAAGCCCCGGCUAACUUCGUGCCAGCAGCCGCGGUAAGACGAAGGGGGCUAGCGUUGUUCGGAAUUACUGGGCGUAAAGCGAGUGUAGGCGGUUGCCGUAGUCAGGUGUGAAAGCCUUGAGCUCAACUCAAGAAAUGCACUUGAUACUGGGUGACUAGAGGACCGGAGAGGAUAGUGGAAUUCCCAGUGUAGUGGUGAAAUACGUAGAGAUUGGGAAGAACACCAGUGGCGAAGGCGGCUAUCUGGACGGUUACUGACGCUAAGACUCGAAAGCGUGGGGAGCAAACAGGAUUAGAUACCCUGGUAGUCCACGCCGUAAACGAUGGGUGCUAGACGUUGGCGAGCUUGCUCGUCAGUGUCGCAGCUAAACGCGUUAAGCACCCCGCCUGGGGAGUACGGCCGCAAGGUUG